CUGAAAUCAAAGUUAUAAGAACAUAAGAUAUCUUUUUUAAGGUUCUAGGGAUGGUCUAUGAUUAUGGUAUUUUUUUUUUAUUAGACAUAUUAUAUCACUGGAUUGAUCAAAAUGCAAGUUUUGCAGUUCAUAAAAAUUUUGUCUAACUUCCUUACAUUGCUGACUUUUAACAAGUACAACCAACUACUGUUUGACAUGUUUAGUGUAUAGAAUAAAAUUGACUUUGAUAACAAUGAAAGAAAUGAAAGAUGUUUAUAAUUUAAUACUCUUAAUAAUAGUAAAUUAACUUACCAGUUAAUGUUUUGGUAAAUAUUUCUUUUGUGCAUUUCAAGGAAGCAGAAUCUACAGUGAUGCCAUUAAAUCUAUCUUUU
Molecule: long non-coding RNA, 371 nt
Organism: Maniola jurtina (meadow brown)
Lineage: Eukaryota; Metazoa; Arthropoda; Insecta; Lepidoptera; Nymphalidae
Exons: 2
Source: RefSeq, a predicted model, not a curated record